This is a long non-coding RNA of Asparagus officinalis (garden asparagus), 1445 nucleotides long. RefSeq lists it as uncharacterized. The record is from RefSeq and is a predicted model, not a curated record. NCBI's taxonomy places the organism in Eukaryota, Viridiplantae, Streptophyta, Magnoliopsida, Asparagales, Asparagaceae. The transcript has 4 exons.
UCCCACGUUCUCCUAAGCCCAUUUCCCAAACUUCCCACGUUCCAUCCUUUCUUCGAACUAAACCCCCCUUCCGCUCUCGUGAUCUCUCUCCCUCCCCACUUCCGCUCUCAACCGGCGGUGGCGACGACGACAAUGACGAGAUCUCUCUCCGCCGCCAUCUCCAACGGCGACGACCUCUUCCCCUUCAUCCACCGCUUCUUCGCCCAGUUCAAGCCCGAGGCCCUCCUCCACAACCUUCGCCUCUUCGCCUGAUCCAAGGAGUCCGAGAUCGAGUCCGUCUGCAAAGCUCACUACCAGGACUUCAUUCGCGCAUAAAUUAAAAGGGGAAGAAAAAGAAAGGAAAAGCCAACAACAUAGACUUCAACUCCAAGGCAGAAGAACGAAGACCUAGCAGCAGAGAAGAAAAAGAUUCGAUUCUUUUUCUUCUUUUCCAGUGCAAUUCUGGGGUUUAGGAUUUGUUCUCCUCUAUUCUUUGGCACAAGGUUUGAGGUUUAAAGAUGAGUGACAAUAUAAUGGAGAAAGUUAACGCCUUUGGUGAACGCCUGAAGAAUCAGAUUAGUAGUUCAGAAGUUGGGUGAAAGAUGACAGAAGGUAUGAGCUCCAUGAGUUUUAAGAUGAAAGAGUUUUUUCAAGGGAAAAUGAUGGCAAUAGCUGUGAAGCCUGCGAAGCAAGUGGAAGAUAAGAGAAGAACUAAUACGAAACAAAGAAGGGUUGUGAUGACAGGGAUGGGCGUCAUGACUCCAUUAGGCCACGAGCUUGAUGUUUUCUAUAAUAAUCUCCUCAACGGUAUAAGUGGAAUCAGUGAAAUAGAAAAUUUCGACUGUGUCGGCUAUCCAACGGUAUAUCCUCUUCUUUGCAUAAUUCAUGUUUAUAACCUCAUUUUAAAAUACUUUCUUUGUAGACAUUUCUUAUGUUUUACAUGAUCAAUUAGUUUCAAGUGAGAUUAAUUUAUAGAAACAUUUGACCAUGUCAACAGCAUCAUGUUAGACUCCAGGUAUUAGUACUUUAUAAUAGUCAUAUUGUUACUACUUAUUAAUAUGUUGUAAGCAAGCAUGGUAAAGAGUGAUACCCCUUUUUUGAUCCCUGAUAUUUGAACUUUUUGUCUAUAGAGAAUUGUAGGAAAGAUUAAAUCGUUUUCAACAGAUGGAUGGGUGGUACCAGAACUAUCUAAGAGGAUGGACAAAUUUAUGCUUUACAUGCUUACUGCUGGUAAAAAAGCUCUGGUGAAUGGUGGAAUUACUAAAGAAGUUUUGAAUGAGCUAGACAAGACGAAGUGUGGUGUUUUUAUCGGGUCUGCAAUGGGUGGCAUGAAGGUCUUCAAUGAUGCAAUCGAAUCUUUGAGGGUCUCAUACAAGAAGAUGAUCCCCUUUUGUGUUACCUUUGCAACUACAAAUAUGAGUUCGGCUAUGCUAGCAAUGGAUAUGGUGAGCCAAAGCAAAAUCUGA